Molecule: long non-coding RNA, 315 nt
Filed under: Gossypium raimondii (Peruvian cotton)
Lineage: Eukaryota; Viridiplantae; Streptophyta; Magnoliopsida; Malvales; Malvaceae
Description: long non-coding RNA (GRAI_LNC004861)
Source: RNAcentral
AAAAAUGAUUUCUUAACUAAAAUCCAAAGACUUAAUGCUUUGGAAAGUUAGAGGUUUGAACUAGUUUCCCCAAAUACCCCUGUAAGGGCUCAAUUUCGUUCGGCCCAAAAUAGAAACCAAAAAUAAUAAUAAUUAAACAAAAUAAAAAAGCCAAAAUAAAAGUUCAAGUCCAUGUACAAAAAUCCCAAAUACAAAAAACCCUAAGGCCCACAACCUAAACUUUUUUAGAAAAUUAAAAAAACCCUAGGUCUCCAGCGCCGCUUCCCCACCACGUCGGCAUGCUCGCGCCCCAAGGCCUGACGCCUUAUCUACCAC